CUUGGAAUAUUUUGUCAUACAAACACAUAAGGAACUACUCAAACAAGAGUGUGGGUGUGUCAAAAGGACACUGGGGCCAAUCAGAAAGAAUUCUUCGUGGCCAAAGCUGGAACAAUUUGAGUAACAAUGACACAUAAAGAAUGAGAAGACUGAAGACCUGUCACAGAUUGGAGGAGAUUAAGGAGACCUAACAACUAAAUGCAAUGUGAGAUCCUGGUUUGGAUCUUGGAACAGAAAAUGGCCCUUAGAGUAAAAACUGGUGAGAUCUGAAUCAGGUGAUGUUAACCACAGCCCAACCAUGGCAGGUGACACUACAAAUGCCUACUUUGUUAAACAGUACAAUUUUGUUAAACUACUAUGAGAAUUUAAAUAUUCAAGUAUUAUUGCAAAGCAUUGUUCUAGACUUUGAAGAUACCGUAGUGAACACACAACAGACAGAAAUUCCUGCCUGC
Long non-coding RNA from Trichechus manatus latirostris (Florida manatee), 452 nucleotides. RefSeq lists it as uncharacterized. Lineage: Eukaryota; Metazoa; Chordata; Mammalia; Sirenia; Trichechidae. The record is from RefSeq and is a predicted model, not a curated record. The transcript has 4 exons.